CUCAACCUNGGAANUGCAUUUUAACUGCCGAGCUAGAGUAUGUCAGAGGGGGGUAGAAUUCCACGNGUAGCAGUGAAAUGCGUAGAUAUGUGGAGGAAUACCGAUGGCGAAGGCAGCCCCCUGGGAUAAUACUGACGCUCAGACACGAAAGCGUGGGGAGCAAACAGGAUUAGAUACCCUGGUAGUCCACGCCCUAAACGAUGUCAACUAGCUGUUGGGGCCGUUAGGCCUUAGUAGCGCAGCUAACGCGUGAAGUUGACCGCCUGGGGAGUACGGUCGCAAGAUUAAAACUCAAAGGAAUUGACGGGGACCCGCACAAGCGGUGGAUGAUGUGGAUUAAUUCGAUGCAACGCGAAAAACCUUACCUACCCUUGACAUGUCUGGAAUGCCGAAGAGAUUUGGCAGUGCUCGCAAGAGAACCGGAACACAGGUGCUGCAUGGCUGUCGUCAGCUCGUGUCGUGAGAUGUUGGGUUAAGUCCCGCAACGAGCGCAACCCUUGUCAUUAGUUGCUACGCAAGAGCACUCUAAUGAGACUGCCGGUGACAAACCGGAGGAAGGUGGGGAUGACGUCAAGUCCUCAUGGCCCUUAUGGGUAGGGCUUCACACGUCAUACAAUGGUCGGGACAGAGGGUCGCCAACCCGCGAGGGGGAGCCAAUCUCAGAAACCCGAUCGUAGUCCGGAUCGCAGUCUGCAACUCGACUGCGUGAAGUCGGAAUCGCUAGUAAUCGCGGAUCAGAAUGUCGCGGUGAAUACGUUCCCGGGUCUUGUACACACCGCCCGUCACACCAUGGGAGUGGGUUUCACCAGAAGUAGGUAGCCUAACCGUAAGGAGGGCGCUUACCACGGUGGGAUUCAUGACUGGGGUGAAGUCGUAACAAGGUAGCCGUAUCGGAAGGUGCGGCUGGAUCACCUCCUU
RNAcentral lists this ribosomal RNA (918 nucleotides) under uncultured bacterium. Its description in RNAcentral is "bacterial SSU rRNA". It matches the Rfam family "Bacterial small subunit ribosomal RNA", at positions 608 to 1532 of the family's 1533-position model. The record is from RNAcentral.